This 331-nucleotide ribosomal RNA is filed under the name uncultured bacterium. RNAcentral's name for it is "bacterial SSU rRNA". It matches the Rfam family "Bacterial small subunit ribosomal RNA", at positions 8 to 334 of the family's 1533-position model. The record is from RNAcentral.
AGGGUUUGAUUAUGGCUCAGGACGAACGCUGGCGGCACGCUUAACACAUGCAAGUCGAACGGAGAAUAUCGAAGCUUGCUUUGAUAUUCUUAGUGGCGGACGGGUGAGUAACACGUGAGUAACCUGCCUCUGAGAGUGGGAUAGCUUCUGGAAACGGAUGGUAAUACCGCAUGAAAUCAUAGUAUCGCAUGGUACAAUGAUCAAAGAUUUAUCGCUCAGAGAUGGACUCGCGUCUGAUUAGCUAGUUGGUAAGGUAACGGCUUACCAAGGCGACGAUCAGUAGCCGGACUGAGAGGUUGAUCGGCCACAUUGGGACUGAGACACGGCCCAG